CCUGCGGGUUUUCGGACUGCCUCCGAGGUCCGAACACAUUACAAAAGGUCCGAACAAAUCCGAACGAGGUCCUAACAUGCUCCUAACCAGGUCCGAACAUAUUCCUUCAGAGAUCAAAGAGUUUCGAAUGAGAUCCGAACACAGUUCCGAACAGUAUAGGUCACGUGACGCGGGAGGGGCGGGAAUAUACGAUGAACAUCGCGUUAGAGUCGCAGCCAUUUUUUCCACCGCUUGCGGGAGAUAAAACAUCGGUAGAAAGAUGAAGGAAGCAAAGCCUGAUUCCUAUUGGAGGGAUGUAUGCCUCAAGUAUGCUCGGGGCCAAUUCCAUUUUACCACAGGCAAACGGCCAGGGGCCAAAAAAUGGAAAAAGGCCUUAGAAAAAAUAGAUGCUUGCCCGCUGCAGAAGCAAAUUAACACCAAGGAUCUGUUUGGGAGAAGCCUUAAGUGCUCCUGUGGGUUCCACAAGGUAGGUGAAAUUAUUUACUAAUUGAUUGUUUGCUGGUUUGUUUGUUUGUUUUUUCCUCUGGUGGGCUUCAGUGAUUUUGCAGUAAUGCCUCUGAUGUUUUCAAAGCCUGUUUGCUUUUUAUUGAUUUUCUUUUAACAUGUCAGAAUAAACACUAUUCAAUGCAUCGUUC
Gadus morhua (Atlantic cod) is the source of this 635-nucleotide long non-coding RNA. RefSeq lists it as uncharacterized. NCBI's taxonomy places the organism in Eukaryota, Metazoa, Chordata, Actinopteri, Gadiformes, Gadidae. The transcript has 2 exons. The record is from RefSeq and is a predicted model, not a curated record.